Molecule: ribosomal RNA, 392 nt
Filed under: uncultured bacterium
Lineage: Bacteria
Description: partial 16S ribosomal RNA
Rfam family: Bacterial small subunit ribosomal RNA
Source: RNAcentral
AUACGGAGGAUCCGAGCGUUAUCCGGAUUUAUUGGGUUUAAAGGGUGCGCAGGCGGCCAUUUAAGUCAGCGGUUAAAUCGUGGGGCUCAACCCCAUUCUGCCGUUGAUACUGGGUGGCUUGAUUGCGGUCGAGGUUGGCGGAAUUCGUUGUGUAGCGGUGAAAUGCAUAGAUAUGACGAAGAACACCGAUUGCGUAGGCAGCCUGCUAAGCUGCAACUGACAUUGAGGCUCGAAAGUGUGGGUAUCAAACAGGAUUAGAUACCCUGGUAGUCCACACGGUAAACGAUGAAUACUCGCUGUUUGCGAUAUACGGCAAGCGGCCAAGCGAAAGCGUUAAGUAUUCCACCUGGGGAGUACGCCGGCAACGGUGAAACUUAAAGGAAUUGACGGGG